GCCGACCCCUCGUGCGGCGUCAUCCCGCGGAACUCCCCCAGGGCCGGAAGGCAGCAAGGGUACGCAGGCUCUGGCGGGUGCGCGGGGGGUCCUUUUC
Molecule: signal recognition particle RNA, 97 nt
Filed under: Actinomycetes bacterium
Lineage: Bacteria; Bacillati; Actinomycetota; Actinomycetes
Description: Actinobacteria bacterium signal recognition particle sRNA small type
Rfam family: Bacterial small signal recognition particle RNA
About the family: The signal recognition particle (SRP) is a universally conserved ribonucleoprotein involved in the co-translational targeting of proteins to membranes. Archaeal SRP consists of a 7S RNA and homologues of the eukaryotic SRP19 and SRP54 proteins.
Source: RNAcentral